RNAcentral lists this ribosomal RNA (424 nucleotides) under Bacillus zhangzhouensis. RNAcentral's name for it is "bacterial SSU rRNA". It matches the Rfam family "Bacterial small subunit ribosomal RNA", at positions 66 to 475 of the family's 1533-position model. The record is from RNAcentral. Lineage: Bacteria; Bacillati; Bacillota; Bacilli; Caryophanales; Bacillaceae.
GGACAGAAGGGAGCUUGCUCCCGGAUGUUAGCGGCGGACGGGUGAGUAACACGUGGGUAACCUGCCUGUAAGACUGGGAUAACUCCGGGAAACCGGAGCUAAUACCGGAUAGUUCCUUGAACCGCAUGGUUCAAGGAUGAAAGACGGUUUCGGCUGUCACUUACAGAUGGACCCGCGGCGCAUUAGCUAGUUGGUGGGGUAAUGGCUCACCAAGGCGACGAUGCGUAGCCGACCUGAGAGGGUGAUCGGCCACACUGGGACUGAGACACGGCCCAGACUCCUACGGGAGGCAGCAGUAGGGAAUCUUCCGCAAUGGACGAAAGUCUGACGGAGCAACGCCGCGUGAGUGAUGAAGGUUUUCGGAUCGUAAAGCUCUGUUGUUAGGGAAGAACAAGUGCGAGAGUAACUGCUCGCACCUUGACGG